UCAUGUAAAGAGAUUGUCAUCUCUAUAAAUUACAAAGUGAUAAAAUCGUCAAUUACAUAAAAAGGGUGAAAUAUGGUUGAACUUGUCAAAUUUGUUUAUGUUAUGAUUACCCUUCUUUCCAUAGUUGUUGUUGCAAAAAACUCUCAAGGUAAUAAAGAAAAUAUAUGUUUUAAAGAUGCUGAUUGUCCACAAGAUAUAUGCUCAUAUCCUUUUAAACCGAAGUGUAAUAUUUACGGCUAUUGUUCAUGUUAAACAUAUAUAUUUGCACUAGGUUAUAUGCUAAAAAGUUCCUAUAUUUAGUGAUUGCCGGCAAAGGCUACGGUAGGCAAUCUCAUUAGGUCUCCUACCGUAGGAGACUUGACAUUUUUUAUUUUUUUUUUAUUUGUAAAAUGGAUGUCAAUCAUCAGAUAUACUUGAAAACUUUUGAAGACCACAAUGUUAUUAUAUUUUCUCAACA
Molecule: long non-coding RNA, 457 nt
Organism: Medicago truncatula (barrel medic)
Lineage: Eukaryota; Viridiplantae; Streptophyta; Magnoliopsida; Fabales; Fabaceae
Exons: 2
Source: RefSeq, a predicted model, not a curated record